CCCUACGGGGGGCAGCAGUAGGGAAUCUUCCACAAUGGGCGAAAGCCUGAUGGAGCAACGCCGCGUGGGUGAAGAAGGUCUUCGGAUCAUAAAACCCUGUUGUUAGAGAAGAAAGUGCGUGAGAGUAACUGCUCACGUUUCGACGGUAUCUAACCAGAAAGCCACGGCUAACUACGUGCCAGCAGCCGCGGUAAUACGUAGGUGGCAAGCGUUAUCCGGAUUUAUUGGGCGUAAAGGGAACGCAGGCGGUCUUUUAAGUCUGAUGUGAAAGCCUUCGGCUUAACCGGAGUAGUGCAUUGGAAACU
RNAcentral lists this ribosomal RNA (305 nucleotides) under uncultured bacterium. RNAcentral's name for it is "bacterial SSU rRNA". It matches the Rfam family "Bacterial small subunit ribosomal RNA", at positions 337 to 634 of the family's 1533-position model. The record is from RNAcentral.